Manacus vitellinus (golden-collared manakin) is the source of this 161-nucleotide long non-coding RNA. RefSeq lists it as uncharacterized. The transcript is spliced from 2 exons. The record is from RefSeq and is a predicted model, not a curated record. Lineage: Eukaryota; Metazoa; Chordata; Aves; Passeriformes; Pipridae.
GCCCAGUCCAAAUAACACCAACACAUUCACCCCCAAAAGGGAGGAAGGUAAAGAACUGGAAAAUCCACACGAAGUUUUCCUACAAGCAAUUACCAGUUCUAAAUCCCUACUGAUAACAGCAGCAAAAAGAGCUUAAAAACCCAAAUAAAAGGAAACUGUUG